GACGAACGCUGGCGGCGUGCUUAACACAUGCAAGUCGAACGGAAAGGCCCUGCUUUUGUGGGGUGCUCGAGUGGCGAACGGGUGAGUAACACGUGAGUAACCUGCCCUUGACUUUGGGAUAACUUCAGGAAACUGGGGCUAAUACCGGAUAGGAGCUCCUGCUGCAUGGUGGGGGUGGGAAAGUUUCGGCGGUUGGGGAUGGACUCGCGGCUUAUCAGCUUGUUGGUGGGGUAGUGGCUUACCAAGGCUUUGACGGGUAGCCGGCCUGAGAGGGUGACCGGCCACCUUGGGCCUGCGAUACGGCCCAGACUCCUACGUGAGGCAGCAGUCGGGAAUAUUGCACAAUGGGCGCAAGCCUGUUGCAGCAACGCCGCGUUCGGGAUGACGGCCUUCGGGUUGUAAACCGCUUUCGCCUGUGACGAAGCGUGAGUGACGGUAAUGGGUAAAGAAGCACCGGCUAACUACGUG
This 468-nucleotide ribosomal RNA is filed under the name uncultured bacterium. Its description in RNAcentral is "partial 16S ribosomal RNA". It matches the Rfam family "Bacterial small subunit ribosomal RNA", at positions 28 to 507 of the family's 1533-position model. The record is from RNAcentral.